Molecule: non-coding RNA, 415 nt
Organism: Ictidomys tridecemlineatus (thirteen-lined ground squirrel)
Lineage: Eukaryota; Metazoa; Chordata; Mammalia; Rodentia; Sciuridae
Source: RefSeq, a predicted model, not a curated record
CCAUUGGCUGAUUGUGCUAAAAUCAAUGCUCCUCACCUCCUCCUUUUGUAAAGUCCAUUUAACAAACUCCCUUGCUGACACAGAGAACUGACCAUAGGGAAAGGGAAAAGGAUGAAAUCUGGCUGCGUUUCCUCAGGAAGUGAGUGAUCCUCAGAGAGACUUAUAAAGAAAAAGUGAUCCACUCUGGAUUCAAUAUAUCAAUCACAGGUUUGUGAUUGAGUCUCCUUGGCUUGCUCCUUGAGAAAAUUGAAGCAGUUAAUUGAAGGAACAAUGAGUUGGUGCUUGAGGUGAGAUGACCAGCUUGGCAACACAAGGACAGAUACUAACAACAAAGAUGGUAGUGUAAAGCCGAGAAGGAACUUGAGUCAGAGGUAGCAUAAUUAACUCUCUUACCAGCCUGCACUUCCUAUCUCCA